AAAACGAAGAAACACGUUUCGUGAUCUAAGCAGGUCUUCGAUUAUCACCACUUGUGACUCAGCUUUUACUGCCGGCGAAACUCCACCUCCACCCAUCCGCACCACCGCAACGCUUCAUCGACGUAGCCAUCCCUGCAUCUAUAUCUUCAACACUAGUCGAACUUCGAUUAUUAUGUUGUACUUCCGCUUGUUCUUCCGCAAAUCAUCGCCAAAAGAGAUGCUGGAUUCUUUAAUUUCCACCGGAAUUAAAACUGGGAAUCACUGAUCGUCGCCUAAACACAUCAGAUAAAUUCCCCCAUCAACUCAAAAUCUCUCUCAAUAAAAGAGACUUCACCUCAUACAAGCCGAAGUUUACAUCGGAAAGGGAAGAUUGAUUCCUCUGAUGAUUAAAAUUUCGAGCAUGACCUGUGAAAUCAGACCCAAACAUUAUAGAGAAGCCUGAAAAUCCAGAAACUGCAAAUGGGCCAACACUAGAAGCAAUGGAGGAUCGACCAUUUGAUCUCAAGUCCAAUAAGCCCAGCACGUUUGAAGCACGUCAUCCGAAGCCGUCAAAGACCUACAAUAAAACCUGCAAUAACAACAUUAAGAAGAUAAAGUGUGGUCAACAAAAGCCAGAUCAUCCAGCUCAGAUUAUUUCUCUUGGAAAUCGAUUUAUGCCUCUUGAAUCUAGUGCUAUUACUUAUCAUUAAUCCAGAUGUAUUCUCUUAUAUAUAUCUAGUCGAUUGUAUGAGUUAUGUAAGUUAAAAAGUCAUAAUAAAAAUCAUUUCUUUUCAAUCUCUUUCUCUCUUUGAGAAAGAUUUCAUGGUAUCAGAGCCAUGGAGAGUUCUAAUUUGAUUCCAGUUCCUGCUGUGACUAUUUUACAGUGUGUAACAUUAAAGCUCUCCGAUAAGAAUUAUCUCUUAUGGAAGCUUCAGUUUGAAAAAUUUUUGUCCAGUCAAAAGUUGUUGGGGUUCGUCGACGGAAGCGUACCAUGUCCUCCAUCAAAAAUUCUUGUCCGUGACGGCGACAAGACAGAGGAGCAAGAUAAUCCAGAAUAUGGCAAGUGGCUCCACUCUGAUCAAAUGGUGAUGGCGUGGUUGGUUGGAUCUCUCUCUGAGAAUGCUCUCAAAAGUAUCUACGGUCUCAACACUUCACAUGAGGUUUGGCUCUCUUUGGCAAAGAAAUUUAAUCGUAUUUCUACUACUAGGAAGCUCGAUUUACAAAGAAAAAUCCAAACGACUACUAAGAAUCAGAAGUCGAUGGCUGUUUAUCUUGCUGAAAUCAAAUCCCUAUGUGAUCAAUUAGAUUCAAUUGGAUCACCGAUCUCUGAACAAGAGAAAAUUUAUGGCGUUCUAAAUGGCUUAGGGAAGGAAUAUGAGUCAAUUUGUACUGUUAUUGAGGAUUCAAUGGACUCAAACCCUACGAUCUGCUUUGAAGAUGUGGUAUUCAAACUUACUGGAUUUGAUGAUAAGCUCCAUGCUUAUGAAUCUUCUGAUGUUACACCUCAUCAAGCCUUUUACGCUAACAAAGGAGGAUAUAACAAAAAUUACAACACCAACAGAGGUGGAUAUUCUCGUGGAAGAGGUGCAAACAGAGGAGGCUUCUACAACAGAGGAGGAAGAAGUUCCUUUUCUACUCAUGGUCGUGGUUUUCAACAACAAUUCUCCACUGGUGCUAAUUCUGAUAUGCAGACUCGCCCUACAUGUCAGAUUUGUGGAAAGUUUGGUCAUUCUGCUCUUAAAUGUUAUAAACGGUUUGAUCAAGAAUAUCAGAGUCCCGAGUUGCAGAGUGCCUUUGCUGCAAUGAAAGUUUCAGAUGGUAACACUUCAUCAGGACAUGAGUGGUACCCAGAUACCGGUGCUACUGCCCAUAUUACCAACUCCACUGCUUCUCUGCAGACCGCUCAACCUUACACCGGCGAUGAUUCUGUAAUUGUUGGAAAUGGGGACUUUCUUCCAAUAACUCAUAUUGGUUCAGCUGUCUUGCCAAGUCUUCAAGGUAAUCUCCCUCUUGAGGAUGUCUUGGUAUGUCCCGGUAUUGCAAAAUCCUUAUUAUCAGUGUCUAAGCUAACAGCUGACUAUCCUUGUGCUUUUGAAUUUGACUCUGAUGGUGUCAUUGUAAAGGACAAGCAGACAAGACAGCUCCUCACCAAAGGAAGCCGACUUAAAGAUCUAUAUGUGUUGGAGAAUUCUCAGUUUUUAGCUUACUACUCUAACAGGCAGCAAGCUACAAGCGAUGAGGUGUGGCAUCAAAGGCUAGGGCACCCUCAUAAAGAGAUUCUUCAACAGCUAAUAAAGAAUAAAGCCAUAGUAAUAAAUAAAACCAGCACACGCCUGUGUGAUGCUUGUCAAAUGGGAAAGCUUUGCAGAUUUCCCUUUUCUUCUUCUGAUUUUAUUUCUACAAGACCUCUUGAACGUGUUCACUCUGAUAUUUGGGGUCCUGCACCCAUUGUUUCUUCUCAAGGAUUCAGAUAUUAUGUUAUUUUCAUUGAUCAUUUCUCGAGAUUCACCUGGUUUUAUCCUCUUCGGUUAAAAUCUGGUUUUUUCUCUGUGUUUCUCAACUUCCAACGGAUGGUUGAGAAUCAGUUUUCACAGAAAAUAUCUAUGUUUCAAUCUGAUGGAGGAGGUGAGUAUACAAGCAACAGAUUCGUGAAACAUUUAAGUGAAUGCGGCAUCAAACAACAAAUUUCUUGUCCUCACACACCUCAGCAAAACGGUCUUGCUGAACGCAAGCAUCGACACUUGAUAGAACUUGGACUUUCUAUGAUGUUUCAUAGCAGAUCUCCUCAGUACUUGUGGGUGGAAGCUUUCUUUACUGCCAAUUUUCUUGCAAAUCUUCUUCCCUCUUCGGUUUUGCAAGACAAUAAGAGUCCUUAUGAACUUCUAAUGCAGAAACCGCCAAUAUAUACUGCUUUGAGAGUCUUCGGGUGCACAUGUUAUCCUUAUCUUCGACCAUAUGCACAGAAUAAAUUUGAUCCCAGAUCUCUUCUCUGUGUUUUUCUCGGAUAUAAUGAGAAGUAUAAGGGAUACAGAUGUCUUCAUCCUCCAACUGGUCGGGUAUAUAUUAGCAGACAUGUGUUAUUUUCUGAAAAUCACUUUCCUUUCUCUGAUGUGUAUAAGGACUUUUCUUCAACACCAACUACUCCACUUCUGACUAGCUGGUUCAGGAGUCUUUCUCCAACUGGUGUUUCUGCCACUUCGUCAGAUCAGAAUUCACCAACUGAUGGUUGUAUCUCCUCGUCAGGCUCAAGUUCUGCUGCUUCUAGUUCUUCUGAAGGAACCAUUUUGCCUCUUGUUUCUUCUACUGUUGAGGAAGGAAUGAGUACUGGGUGUACGACAGACUUAGACUCUGUUCCUAUAGGCAACAGCUCAUUUCCUUCUUCUAUCAGGACAGAUAUACAAGAGACACCGAAUUUGACAUCUCCUUCACAUGAGUCUGUGUCUGCUACUGCUCCUCUUGCGCUUGUGCCUACUGCUGUUCCUCUUGAGCCUGUUAUCAGUAACGAUGAAGAAAUGGUAUCUACUUCUGGAGAUGGCCUUACUCCAUUGGCCGCCACUACUUCUACACACGCUAUGACCACCAGAUCCAAGGCUGGUAUACGAAAACCAAAUCCCAAAUAUGCCUUACACUCCGUAAGAACUAAUUAUCCUGAACCAAAGACAAUCAAAGCUGCACUACAAGAUCCAGGUUGGACUAAUGCAAUGGGUGAAGAGAUAGGGACCCUUCAUGUUACCGACACUUUUGAUCUUGUUCCACCUGUGCCAGGAUUUCAACCUCUUGGUUGUAAGUGGGUUUUCAAGACGAAGUUGAAUGCUGAUGGAUCUUUAGAUAAGCUUAAAGCGAGACUCGUUGCAAAGGGGUAUGAGCAAGAAGAAGGCAUUGAUUAUAUAGAGACUUAUAGCCCUGUUGUUCGUACUGCAACUGUUCGAGCUAUCCUACACGUUGCUGUUAUCAACAAAUGGGACAUAAAACAAUUAGAUGUCAAAAAUGCUUUCUUGCAUGGAGACUUGAAAGAAACUGUCUAUAUGGUCCAACCACCUGGCUUUGAAGAUCCAAAAAGGCCAGAUCACCUCUGCAAACUUAAGAAAGCUAUUUACGGACUUAAACAAGCGCCACGGGCUUGGUUUGACAAGUUCAGUUCUUUUUUGAUCAAGUUUGGAUUCUUUUGUGCAAUUGGUGAUGCUUCUCUCUUUGUUUACAUUCACGGUUCAGAUGUCAUGUUUCUCCUGCUGUAUGUAGAUGACAUGAUAUUGACUGGAAGCAACAAAGACUUGAUGCAGAAGCUUUUGAACUCUCUCAAUUUGGAUUUCAUGGUGAAAGAUAUGGGACAGUUACACUACUUUCUUGGUGUUCAAGCGUUCUUUCAUCCCAAUGGGCUUUUUUUAAACCAAGAAAAGUAUGCAACUGAUCUUCUUAUAAAUGCAGGAAUGAUUGAUUGUGCUCCUGUUGCUACUCCUUUGCCUCUGCAACUCGGGAAAGUUCCUGGCCAACAAGAACUCUUUUCUGAUCCUACCUAUUUCAGGAGUCUGGCAGGAAAACUGCAAUACCUUACUUUAACAAGGCCUGAUAUUCAGUUCUCUGUGAAUUAUGUUUGUUAUAAAAUGCAUGCUCCCACCAUUGCUGAUUUUAAUCUCCUCAAACGCAUACUGAGAUAUCUCAAAGGUACAAUAUCUUUGGGUCUUGAUUUGUCUGCAAAUACAGAUUGUACUUUGCGUGCUUAUAGUGACAGUGACUGGGCCGGGUGUCCUGAAACAAGGCGUUCAACAGGCGGUUUAUGCACAUUUCUUGGUUCCAACAUUAUUUCUUGGUCGGCCAAGAGACAUUCCACUGUUUCUAAGUCCUCCACUGAGGCAGAGUAUCGAACUCUCUCAAUUGCUGCCUCUGAACUUAAGUGGAUCUCUUCCCUGUUGUCUGAGAUUGGUGUUCCUCCGCCUGUAACACCAGAAAUGUACUGUGAUAAUCUAUCUGCGGUGUGCUUAACAGUGAAUCCGGUGAUGCACUCUCGUUCCAAGCAUUUUGAACUUGAUUGGCAUUAUGUCCGUGAGAGAGUGGCUCUUGGUUCGUUGGUGGUGAAGCAUAUUCCGGCUGAAUAUCAGCUUGCUGAUAUUUUUACUAAGUCUCUGCCCCACCGUGCCUUUGCUGACUUGCGGUUCAAACUUGGCGUUGUUUCUCCACCCACGCCAAGUUUGCGGGGGUGUAUAGAGAAGCCUGAAAAUCCAGAAACUGCAAAUGGGCCAACACUAGAAGCAAUGGAGGAUCGACCAUUUGAUCUCAAGUCCAAUAAGCCCAGCACGUUUGAAGCACGUCAUCCGAAGCCGUCAAAGACCUGCAAUAAAACCUGCAAUAACAACAUUAAGAAGAUAAAGUGUGGUCAACAAAAGCCAGAUCAUCCAGCUCAGAUUAUUCCUCUUGGAAAUCGAUUUAUGCCUCUUGAAUCUAGUGCUAGUACUUGUCAUUAAUCCAGAUGUAUUCUCUUAUAUAUAUCUAGUCGAUUGUAUGAGUUAUGUAAGUUAAAAAGUCAUAAUAAAAAUCAUUUCUUUUCAAUCUCUUUCUCUCUUUGAGAAAGAUUUCAAACAUAAACCUUUGGAAUUGGAAAUAAAAACUUGCAGAAGAUUGAGAUCUACACAAUAGUAAUCAGACCUCUUUUAUAUAUUAGAUUAUAUGUAUAAGUAUGAUCUUUCACAAUAGAAGUUAUUCUUUCUCUAUUAAGCUUGAUAAUCUUCUGGAUGACUCUUGUACCCCUUGUUCUUAUUCUUCUUCUUCGGAGACUCAUUCUUUCUUUUUAUUCUUUUUUGCUUCUUUGUAAGACCGUGAGACUCUUCUCUUGGUGGUGGUUAAAUCCUAGUUUCACCCGACCUCUUCUAAAGAUCAAUCCCAUAAACUCACCAAAUCGGAUUCUUGAAAAUUUAAAAGUAAAAAAAUGCUCAAAAAAACCUUAAAGUAAACUGAUUAAAGGAGGCUUUUUGAAGCCACAAUGCUCCUCCAUCU
Molecule: long non-coding RNA, 5967 nt
Filed under: Eutrema salsugineum
Lineage: Eukaryota; Viridiplantae; Streptophyta; Magnoliopsida; Brassicales; Brassicaceae
Description: long non-coding RNA (ESAL_LNC001489)
Source: RNAcentral